RNAcentral lists this long non-coding RNA (502 nucleotides) under Pectinophora gossypiella (pink bollworm). RNAcentral's name for it is "uncharacterized LOC126369458". The record is from RNAcentral. Lineage: Eukaryota; Metazoa; Arthropoda; Insecta; Lepidoptera; Gelechiidae.
GCGAGCACCCAGCCUAAAGCGAGCACCGAUCGUAAAACUUACCUAUAGAAACUUACCGCGGCCCGCGUCCCAGUGGCGUUACCCCCCUCCCCGCGCCAGUGCGCGGCAGUCGUGAUUUCACAGUGACGUGAAUAACACAGGUUGUUCGCGCCAAAAACGAUUUUCGUCAUUUUUAUGCAAAUAAACGAAGAUGGUGAAUAAAUAUAAACGCAAAACAGCAAUGUUCUUAGACUGAAAGCACAAUGAAGAAAGCAAUACCGGAGGUGGUAGAAAUGAAAAAGGCUAUAAAAACUACAGCUACAAAGUAUGGUAUCCCGCGAGCUACUUUACAGCGACACCUGAAAACAGGUUCUACCAAGAAAAAGUUAGGAAGGUUUACCAGUCUUCAGCUCAGAACAAGAGCUUGAAUUGUUAAAUUACGUAUUUGAAAUGGACAGUGUGUUUUAUGGUUUAUCGAAAGAAGAAUUUCUUUUUCACUUAAUAAAGUGCACAUAUGAAUCCC